This 530-nucleotide ribosomal RNA is filed under the name uncultured bacterium. Its description in RNAcentral is "partial 16S ribosomal RNA". It matches the Rfam family "Bacterial small subunit ribosomal RNA", at positions 355 to 874 of the family's 1533-position model. The record is from RNAcentral.
UGGGGAAUAUUGCACAAUGGGCGCAAGCCUGAUGCAGCCAUGCCGCGUGUGUGAAGAAGGCCUUCGGGUUGUAAAGCACUUUCAGCGAGGAGGAAGGUGGUGGACUUAAUACGUUCAUCAAUUGGACGUUACUCGCAGAAGAAGCACCGGCUAACUCCGUGCCAGCAGCCGCGGUAAUACGGAGGGUGCAAGCGUUAAUCGGAAUUACUGGGCGUAAAGCGCACGCAGGCGGUUUGUUAAGUCAGAUGUGAAAUCCCCGGGCUCAACCUGGGAACUGCAUUUGAAACUGGCAAGCUAGAGUCUCGUAGAGGGGGGUAGAAUUCCAGGUGUAGCGGUGAAAUGCGUAGAGAUCUGGAGGAAUACCGGUGGCGAAGGCGGCCCCCCUGGACGAAGACUGACGCUCAGGUGCGAAAGCGUGGGGCAGCAAACAGGAUUAGAUACCCUGGUAGUCCACGCUGUAAACGAUGUCGAUUUGGAGGUUGUGCCCUUGAGGCGUGGCUUCCGGAGCUAACGCGUUAAAUCGACCGCCU